Molecule: ribosomal RNA, 253 nt
Filed under: uncultured bacterium
Lineage: Bacteria
Description: partial 16S ribosomal RNA
Rfam family: Bacterial small subunit ribosomal RNA
Source: RNAcentral
CACGUAGGGCGCAAGCGUUGUCCGGAAUUAUUGGGCGUAAAGAGCUCGUAGGUGGUUUGUUACGUCCGCUGUGAAAUCCUAGGGCUUAACCCUGGGCUUGCAGUGGAUACGGGCAGACUAGAGGUAGGUAGGGGAGAAUGGAAUUCCUGGUGUGGCGGUGAAAUGCGCAGAUAUCAGGAGGAACACCGGUGGCGAAGGCGGUUCUCUGGGCCUUACCUGACACUGAGGAGCGAAAGCGUGGGGAGCGAACAGG